RNAcentral lists this ribosomal RNA (751 nucleotides) under Streptomyces tendae. RNAcentral describes it as "bacterial SSU rRNA". It matches the Rfam family "Bacterial small subunit ribosomal RNA", at positions 139 to 901 of the family's 1533-position model. Lineage: Bacteria; Bacillati; Actinomycetota; Actinomycetes; Kitasatosporales; Streptomycetaceae. The record is from RNAcentral.
UGGGACAAGCCCUGGAAACGGGGUCUAAUACCGGAUACUGACCCUCGCAGGCAUCUGCGAGGUUCGAAAGCUCCGGCGGUGCAGGAUGAGCCCGCGGCCUAUCAGCUUGUUGGUGAGGUAAUGGCUCACCAAGGCGACGACGGGUAGCCGGCCUGAGAGGGCGACCGGCCACACUGGGACUGAGACACGGCCCAGACUCCUACGGGAGGCAGCAGUGGGGAAUAUUGCACAAUGGGCGAAAGCCUGAUGCAGCGACGCCGCGUGAGGGAUGACGGCCUUCGGGUUGUAAACCUCUUUCAGCAGGGAAGAAGCGAAAGUGACGGUACCUGCAGAAGAAGCGCCGGCUAACUACGUGCCAGCAGCCGCGGUAAUACGUAGGGCGCAAGCGUUGUCCGGAAUUAUUGGGCGUAAAGAGCUCGUAGGCGGCUUGUCACGUCGGUUGUGAAAGCCCGGGGCUUAACCCCGGGUCUGCAGUCGAUACGGGCAGGCUAGAGUUCGGUAGGGGAGAUCGGAAUUCCUGGUGUAGCGGUGAAAUGCGCAGAUAUCAGGAGGAACACCGGUGGCGAAGGCGGAUCUCUGGGCCGAUACUGACGCUGAGGAGCGAAAGCGUGGGGAGCGAACAGGAUUAGAUACCCUGGUAGUCCACGCCGUAAACGGUGGGCACUAGGUGUGGGCAACAUUCCACGUUGUCCGUGCCGCAGCUAACGCAUUAAGUGCCCCGCCUGGGGAGUACGGCCGCAAGGCUAAAACU